AGAGUUUGAUUAUGGCUCAGAACGAACGCUGGCGGCGUGCCUAACACAUGCAAGUCGAACGGAAUCAGGGGGCUUGCUCCUUGAUUUAGUGGCGCACGGGUGAGUAAUGCGUAGAUAAUCUACCUGAGGAUCCGGGAUAACAUUUCGAAAGGGGUGCUAAUACGGGAUAAGCCCACGGAGUCUUCGGACUUUGCGGGAAAAGGGGGGGACUUUCGGGCCUUCCGUCAUCAGAUGAGUCUACGUACCAUUAGCUAGUUGGUGGGGUAAGAGCCUACCAAGGCGACGAUGGUUAGCUGGUCUGAGAGGAUGAUCAGCCACACUGGAACUGAGACACGGUCCAGACUCCUACGGGAGGCAGCAGUGGGGAAUUUUGCGCAAUGGGGGAAACCCUGACGCAGCAACGCCGCGUGAGUGAUGAAGGCCUUCGGGUCGUAAAGCUCUGUCAGUGGGAAAGAAGUGUAUUAUGGCUAAUAUCCAUGAUACUUGACGGUACCCACAAAGGAAGCACCGGCUAACUCCGUGCCAGCAGCCGCGGUAAUACGGAGGGUGCGAGCGUUGUUCGGAAUUAUUGGGCGUAAAGCGCGUGUAGGCGGCUUCUUAAGUCUGAUGUGAAAGCCCCGGGCUCAACCUGGGAAGUGCAUUGGAAACUGGGGAACUUGAAUACGGGAGAGGGUAGUGG
RNAcentral lists this ribosomal RNA (679 nucleotides) under uncultured bacterium. RNAcentral describes it as "bacterial SSU rRNA". It matches the Rfam family "Bacterial small subunit ribosomal RNA", at positions 8 to 664 of the family's 1533-position model. The record is from RNAcentral.